UAGGGAAUCUUCCGCAAUGGGCGAAAGCCUGACGGAGCAACGCCGCGUGAGUGAUGAAGGUCUUCGGAUCGUAAAACUCUGUUAUUAGGGAAGAACAAAUGUGUAAGUAACUAUGCACGUCUUGACGGUACCUAAUCAGAAAGCCACGGCUAACUACGUGCCAGCAGCCGCGGUAAUACGUAGGUGGCAAGCGUUAUCCGGAAUUAUUGGGCGUAAAGCGCGCGUAGGCGGUUUUUUAAGUCUGAUGUGAAAGCCCACGGCUCAACCGUGGAGGGUCAUUGGAAACUGGAAAACUUGAGUGCAGAAGAGGAAAGUGGAAUUCCAUGUGUAGCGGUGAAAUGCGCAGAGAUAUGGAGGAACACAAGUGGCGAAGGCGACUUUCUGGUCUGAAACUGACGCUGAUGUGCGAAAGCGUGGGGAUCAAACAGG
RNAcentral lists this ribosomal RNA (429 nucleotides) under Actinomycetes bacterium. RNAcentral's name for it is "Actinobacteria bacterium partial 16S ribosomal RNA". It matches the Rfam family "Bacterial small subunit ribosomal RNA", at positions 355 to 776 of the family's 1533-position model. The record is from RNAcentral. Lineage: Bacteria; Bacillati; Actinomycetota; Actinomycetes.